Molecule: ribosomal RNA, 430 nt
Filed under: bacterium
Lineage: Bacteria
Also listed under: 1 other name
Description: partial 16S ribosomal RNA
Rfam family: Bacterial small subunit ribosomal RNA
Source: RNAcentral
UGGGGAAUAUUGGACAAUGGGCGCAAGCCUGAUCCAGCCAUGCCGCGUGUGUGAAGAAGGCCUUUUGGUUGUAAAGCACUUUAAGCGAGGAGGAGGCUACUUGGAUUAAUACUCUAGGAUAGUGGACGUUACUCGCGGAAUAAGCACCGGCUAACUCUGUGCCAGCAGCCGCGGUAAUACAGAGGGUGCGAGCGUUAAUCGGAUUUACUGGGCGUAAAGCGUGCGUAGGCGGCUUCUUAAGUCGGAUGUGAAAUCCCUGAGCUUAACUUAGGAAUUGCAUUCGAUACUGGGAAGCUAGAGUAUGGGAGAGGAUGGUAGAAUUCCAGGUGUAGCGGUGAAAUGCGUAGAGAUCUGGAGGAAUACCGAUGGCGAAGGCAGCCAUCUGGCCUAAUACUGACGCUGAGGUACGAAAGCAUGGGGAGCAAACAGG